AGAUUGAACGCUGGCGGCAGGCUUAACACAUGCAAGUCGAGCGGUAGCAGGCCUUCGGGUGCUGACGAGCGGCGGACGGGUGAGGAAUGCAUAGGAAUCUGCCUAUUAGUGGGGGAUAACACGGGGAAACUCGUGCUAAUACCGCAUACGUCCUACGGGAGAAAGCGGGGGAUCUUUGGACCUCGCGCUAAUAGAUGAGCCUAUGCCGGAUUAGCUAGUUGGUAGGGUAAAGGCCUACCAAGGCGACGAUCCGUAGCUGGUCUGAGAGGAUGAUCAGCCACACUGGGACUGAGACACGGCCCAGACUCCUACGGGAGGCAGCAGUGGGGAAUAUUGGACAAUGGGCGCAAGCCCGAUCCAGCCAUGCCGCGUGUGUGAAGAAGGCCUUCGGGUUGUAAAGCACUUUAAGUGGGGAGGAAGGUUAGUGGUUUAAUACGCUACUAAAUUGACGUUACCCACAGAAUAAGCACCGGCUAACUCUGUGCCAGCAGCCGCGGUAAUACAGAGGGUGCAAGCGUUAAUCGGAAUUACUGGGCGUAAAGCGCGCGUAGGUGGUUUUGUAAGUUGAAUGUGAAAUCCCCGGGCUUAACCUGGGAAUGGCAUCCAAAACUGCACGACUAGAGUAUGGGAGAGGGAGGUAGAAUUCCAGGUGUAGCGGUGAAAUGCGUAGAGAUCUGGAGGAAUACCGGUGGCGAAGGCGGCCUCCUGGCCUAAUACUGACACUGAGGUGCGAAAGCGUGGGUAGCAAACAGGAUUAGAUACCCUGGUAGUCCACGCCGUAAACGAUGAGAACUAGCCGUUGGUCUCCUUGAGAGGUUAGUGGCGCAGCUAACGCGAUAAGUUCUCCGCCUGGGGAGUACGGCCGCAAGGUUAAAACUCAAAUGAAUUGACGGGGGCCCGCACAAGCGGUGGAGCAUGUGGUUUAAUUCGACGCAACGCGAAGAACCUUACCUGGUCUUGACAUCCACGGAAUCCUGCAGAGAUGUGGGAGUGCCUUCGGGAACCGUGAGACAGGUGCUGCAUGGCUGUCGUCAGCUCGUGUUGUGAAAUGUUGGGUUAAGUCCCGUAACGAGCGCAACCCUUGUCCUUAGUUGCCAGCGAGUAAUGUCGGGAACUCUAAGGAGACUGCCGGUGACAAACCGGAGGAAGGUGUGGACGACGUCAAGUCAUCAUAGCCCUUACGACCAGGGCUACACACGUGCUACAAUGGCCGGUACAGAGGGUUGCCAAGCCGCGAGGUGGAGCCAAUCCCGAAAAGCCGGUCGUAGUCCGGAUUGCAGUCUGCAACUCGACUGCAUGAAGUCGGAAUCGCUAGUAAUCGCAGAUCAGAAUGCUGCGGUGAAUACGUUCCCGGGCCUUGUACACACCGCCCGUCACACCAUGGGAGUGGGUUGCACCAGAAGUAGUUAGCUUAACCGCAAGGGGAGCGAUUACCACGGUGUGAUUCAUGACUGGGGUGAAGUCGAAACAAGGUA
RNAcentral lists this ribosomal RNA (1475 nucleotides) under metagenome. RNAcentral's name for it is "bacterial SSU rRNA". It matches the Rfam family "Bacterial small subunit ribosomal RNA". The record is from RNAcentral.